AUUGAACGCUGGCGGCAGGCCUAACACAUGCAAGUCGAGCGGAUGAAGGGAGCUUGCUGCUGGAUUCAGCGGCGGACGGGUGAGUAAUGCCUAGGAAUCUGCCUGCUAGUGGGGGAUAACGACCGGAAACGGGCGCUAAUACCGCAUACGUCCUGCCGCAGAAAGAGGGGGAUCUUCAGACCCUACGCUCUCAGCUGAUCCUAGGUCGGAUUAGCUAGUUGGUGGGGUAAAGGCCUACCAAGGCGACUAACCGUAACUAGUCUGAAAGGAUGAUCAGUCACACUGGCACUUGGACACGGUCCAGACUCCUACGGGAGGAACCAGUGGGCAAUAUUGGACUAUGGGCGAAAGCCUGAUACAGACGUGCCGCGUGUUUGAAAGAGUUCUUCGGAUGGUAAAGCGCACUAACUUGGGAGGAGAGGGAGGAAGUUAAUACAGUGCUGAAUUGACGUUACUAACAGAAUAGAAGACGGCUAAGUUCGUG
This 484-nucleotide ribosomal RNA is filed under the name uncultured bacterium. Its description in RNAcentral is "partial 16S ribosomal RNA". It matches the Rfam family "Bacterial small subunit ribosomal RNA", at positions 30 to 507 of the family's 1533-position model. The record is from RNAcentral.